RNAcentral lists this ribosomal RNA (451 nucleotides) under uncultured bacterium. Its description in RNAcentral is "bacterial SSU rRNA". It matches the Rfam family "Bacterial small subunit ribosomal RNA", at positions 330 to 793 of the family's 1533-position model. The record is from RNAcentral.
UCCAGACUCCUACGGGAGGCAGCAGUGGGGGAUAUUGGACAAUGGGGGAAACCCUGAUCCAGCGACGCCGCGUGAGUGAAGAAGUAUUUCGGUAUGUAAAGCUCUGUCAGCAGGGAAGAAAGAAAUGACGGUACCUGACCAAGAAGCCCCGGCUAACUACGUGCCAGCAGCCGCGGUAAUACGUAGGGGGCAAGCGUUAUCCGGAAUUACUGGGUGUAAAGGGAGCGUAGACGGUGAUGCAAGUCUGGAGUGAAAGGCGGGGGCCCAACCCCCGGACUGCUCUGGAAACUGUACGGCUGGAGUGCAGGAGAAGUAAGUGGAAUUCCUAGUGUAGCGGUGAAAUGCGUAGAUAUUAGGAGGAACACCAGUGGCGAAGGCGGCUUACUGGACUGUAACUGACGUUGAGGCUCGAAAGCGUGGGGAGCAAACAGGAUUAGAUACCCUGGUAAAA